AUCCCAUGAUGAGGACACUUAAGAAGUAACUCCUUGAAUCGCUCCCAAGCCUCAUAUAAAGACUCGUCUUCCAAUUGUUGGAACUUGGUGGCAAUGAAUUGAGCCA
This is a non-coding RNA of Gossypium arboreum, 106 nucleotides long. The record is from Rfam. NCBI's taxonomy places the organism in Eukaryota, Viridiplantae, Streptophyta, Magnoliopsida, Malvales, Malvaceae.